This 213-nucleotide long non-coding RNA is filed under the name Homo sapiens (human). Its description in RNAcentral is "non-protein coding lnc-NCOA3-16:1". The record is from RNAcentral. Lineage: Eukaryota; Metazoa; Chordata; Mammalia; Primates; Hominidae.
UGGGAUUACAGGUGUGAGCCACCACAUCCAGCUUGUAACAUUUUUGAAAUGACAACAUUUUAGAACUGAAGGACAGAUUAGCGGUUGCCAGGGGGUUAAGGAUGAGGGCUGGGAGUGCAGUCUGUGGGAGAGAGGUAUGGUGGCUCAUGGCUGUAAUCCCAGAACUUUGGGAUUACAGGUGGGUGGAUCACCUGAGGUCAGGAGUUCGAGACC